This 656-nucleotide ribosomal RNA is filed under the name uncultured Methanosaeta sp. RNAcentral's name for it is "bacterial SSU rRNA". It matches the Rfam family "Archaeal small subunit ribosomal RNA", at positions 1 to 662 of the family's 1478-position model. The record is from RNAcentral. Lineage: Archaea; Methanobacteriati; Methanobacteriota; Methanomicrobia; Methanotrichales; Methanotrichaceae.
UUCUGUUUGAUCCCGGCAGAGGUUACUGCUAUCGAGAUUCGACUAAGCCAUGCGAGUCGAAUGUUCUUCGUGAACAUGGCGGACUGCUCAGUAACACGUGGACAACCUACCCUUGGGUCCGGCAUAAUCCUGGGAAACUGGGGAUAAUUCCGGAUAGGUCACAGAUGCUGGAAUGCACUGUGGCUCAAAGCUCCGGCGCCCAAGGAUGGGUCUGCGGCCUAUCAGGGUUGUAGUGGGUGUAAUGUACCUACUAGCCUACGACGGGUACGGGUUGUAAGAGCAAGAGCCCGGGGAUGGAUUUUGAGACACGAAUCCAGGCCCUACAGGGUGCAGCAGGCGCGAAAACUUUACAAUGCGGGAAACCGUGAUAAGGGAAUCUCGAGUGCCAGCAUAUAAUGUUGGCUGUCCAGAUGCCUAAAAAGCAUCUGUUAGCAAGGGCCGGGCAAGACCGGUGCCAGCCGCCGCGGUAACACCGGCGGCCCGAGUGGUAACCGCUAUUAUUGGGUCUAAAGGGUCUGUAGCCGGCCAGGUAAGUCCCUUGGGAAAUCUGGCAGCUCAACUGUCAGGCUGCUAGGGGAUACUGUUUGGCUUGGGACCGGGAGAGGUGAGAGGUACCUUGGGGGUAGGGGGAAAUCUUGGACCUCGGGGGACCACCA